Molecule: long non-coding RNA, 351 nt
Filed under: Homo sapiens (human)
Lineage: Eukaryota; Metazoa; Chordata; Mammalia; Primates; Hominidae
Description: HSALNT0408691
Source: RNAcentral
GGGCCCGGCUGGCACUGCCCUGCGCCGCCGCCCGUCAGUCCCGGUACCCCGCCAGGAAAUGUCUUCUUCCUGGGAAGACGGCCGCUGUCUGCGGCAGUGGGUGGCAGAGUCUGAAACCAAGUCGCACAAGCCCUGGGAGACAGAAAGCCUUGUGUUUGUCUUGGGGACUGUUCCGUCAGAAUGAGCAGCUUAAAAAAUGUCGCCUGUGAGGUCUCAGCUCGUACAACAAGAAGAUAGCAAUCUGCAAACCAGAAAGUGGGCCCUCACAAGAACUAGAUGAUGAUGGUGUCCUGGCUUCAAACUCCCAGCUUCCAGAACUGUGAGAAAUAAAUUUCUGUUGUUUAUAAGUUA